UACCCCUACGGGGCAGCAGUGGGGGAUAUUGGACAAUGGGGGGCACCCUGAUCCAGCGACGCCGCGUGAGUAAAGAAGUAUUUCGGUAUGUAAAGCUCUGUCAGCAGGGAAGAAAGAAAUGACGGUACCUGACCAAGAAGCCCCGGCUAACUACGUGCCAGCAGCCGCGGUAAUACGUAGGGGGCAAGCGUUAUCCGGAAUUACUGGGUGUAAAGGGAGCGUAGACGGUUAAGUAAGUCUGGAGUGAAAGGCCGGGGCCCAACCCCGGGACUGCUCUGUAAACUAUUGAACUUGAGUGCAG
This 301-nucleotide ribosomal RNA is filed under the name uncultured bacterium. RNAcentral describes it as "bacterial SSU rRNA". It matches the Rfam family "Bacterial small subunit ribosomal RNA", at positions 334 to 651 of the family's 1533-position model. The record is from RNAcentral.